Molecule: ribosomal RNA, 905 nt
Filed under: uncultured bacterium
Lineage: Bacteria
Description: bacterial SSU rRNA
Rfam family: Bacterial small subunit ribosomal RNA
Source: RNAcentral
CCAAAGAAUAAGGACCGGCUAACUCCGUGCCAGCAGCCGCGGUAAUACGGGGGGUCCGAGCGUUAAUCGGAAUUACUGGGCGUAAAGGGUCUGUAGGUGGUUUGUUAAGUCAGAUGUGAAAGCCCAGGGCUCAACCUUGGAACUGCAUUUGAUACUGGCAAACUAGAGUAUGGUAGAGGAAUGGGGAAUUUCUGGUGUAGCGGUGAAAUGCGUAGAGAUCAGAAGGAACACCAAUGGCGAAGGCAACAUUCUGGACCAAUACUGACACUGAGGGACGAAAGCGUGGGGAUCAAACAGGAUUAGAUACCCUGGUAGUCCACGCUGUAAACGAUGAGUACUAGCUGUUGGAUUCGGUGUAAAGGAUCUAGUGGCGUAGCUAACGCGUUAAGUACUCCGCCUGGGGACUACGGCCGCAAGGCUAAAACUCAAAGGAAUUGACGGGGACCCGCACAAGCGGUGGAGCAUGUGGUUUAAUUCGAUGCAACGCGAAGAACCUUACCUGGUCUUGACAUCCUGCGAACUUUCUAGAGAUAGAUUGGUGCCUUCGGGAACGCAGUGACAGGUGCUGCACGGCUGUCGUCAGCUCGUGUUGUGAAAUGUUGGGUUAAGUCCCGCAACGAGCGCAACCCCUAUUGAUAGUUACCAUCAUUAAGUUGGGUACUCUAUUGAGACUGCCGCUGACAAGGCGGAGGAAGGUGGGGACGACGUCAAGUCAUCAUGGCCCUUACGACCAGGGCUACACACGUGCUACAAUGGGUAUUACAGAGGGCAGCGAAGUAGCGAUAUGGAGCGAAACUCAGAAAGGUACUCUUAGUCCGGAUUGCAGUCUGCAACUCGACUGCAUGAAGUCGGAAUCGCUAGUAAUCGCAGGGCAGAAUACUGCGGUGAAUACGUUCCCGGGUCUU